AACGCAAAUUGCGCCCGAGGCCUCGGCCGAGGGCAUGUCUGCCUCAGCGUCGGCUUUCACCCUCGCCCACCCCUCUCCUUCCCUAGUGCUGGAGAGUCGGUUGGGCGGAUCUGGCCCUCCCGGCUCGGCUAGGCUCUGGCCUGGCUCCGGGUCGGCUGAAGCUCAGAGGCUUGAGCAUGGACCCCGUUUGUAGGGAAAUGGCUUGGUAGGUAGGUACCCCCUACGAAGCCCUGCCGUUGCCCGAGGGGACUUUGCUGGAGGCCUUGCAAGGUUCGGAUGUCUGCCCCGGUGGCUCCGAACGAUUUCAAACCUUCGACCUGAGCUCAGGCAAGACUACCCGCUGAACUUAA
RNAcentral lists this unclassified non-coding RNA (350 nucleotides) under uncultured fungus. Its description in RNAcentral is "partial contains 5.8S ribosomal RNA, internal transcribed spacer 2, and large subunit ribosomal RNA". The record is from RNAcentral. Lineage: Eukaryota; Fungi.